RNAcentral lists this ribosomal RNA (253 nucleotides) under uncultured bacterium. Its description in RNAcentral is "partial 16S ribosomal RNA". It matches the Rfam family "Bacterial small subunit ribosomal RNA", at positions 524 to 776 of the family's 1533-position model. The record is from RNAcentral.
UACGUAGGUGGCAAGCGUUGUCCGGAUUUACUGGGCGUAAAGGGUGCGUAGGCGGCCUUUUAAGUCAGAUGUGAAAUACCCGAGCUUAACUUGGGUGCUGCAUUUGAAACUGGGUGGCUAGAGUGCAGGAGAGGUAAGUGGAAUUCCUAGUGUAGCGGUGAAAUGCGUAGAGAUUAGGAAGAACACCAGUGGCGAAGGCGACUUACUGGACUGUAACUGACGCUGAGGCAUGAAAGCGUGGGGAGCAAACAGG